RNAcentral lists this long non-coding RNA (3961 nucleotides) under Naja naja (Indian cobra). Its description in RNAcentral is "lncRNA (ENSNNAG00000009412.1)". Lineage: Eukaryota; Metazoa; Chordata; Lepidosauria; Squamata; Elapidae. The record is from RNAcentral.
CUCCUCUCCACAUCCCUCCUUCCCAUUUGGCUGCCUCCUCCCUGCCCUGCUGCACAGAGACACUGGUAAUAAUGACAACAACACACAGAGAAAGACUUUAUACUGUAAGGGAGAGAAAGAGAGAGAAAACCAACAUCCACAAGCCGAAAAUAAUGCAUACCGUUAAAUAUACCUGUUAUAACUCCAAGGGGAGCACCAUCUACCUAUCCACCACCAAAACUGACAGCCGAGCAAGCAACUUCUUUCUCUCCACCCCAUCGCUGGAUUGUUCCUUCCACUCUUGCUCAUCGUAUAAAACAAUAAACCCUCAAGCGGCUUCAGCAACUUUCAGAGAGCUAACAACAGAUCCUCAGAGUGCUAUCAACCAGAUGACUGCAAAUCCUUCCAUUGCCCACCAGUCAGUUAGAAAUGAAGAAGCUUCUUGGAUGAGAAGUGAAACAUCAAGGGAAAAAAAAUCAAGAAAGUCCACUUGCCUUUUGGAAAGUCCCUUUGGGACAUUGACAUUUCAAGUUUAAAAUAUAAGCUCAGACUUUUACCAGUAAAUAUCGGUUUAUUCCUGAAACCAGAAGCCCUAAACAUAUCUUUGUUUAUAAGGUCAGUCUUCAUUUCCUGUUUCUGUCCUUCCCCACUUAUUUACAAACUCUGUUGUUUUUUCAGGUUAUGGAAGGUAUGGAGUAUUCUUUUUGUUUUCCUGCUUGCCACCAUUUUUUUUAAAAAUUGAACUUUGUUAUGCGUGCAGACUGGAGUUUUGGGCAUUCUUUUCAUCUUAGAAAAUUUUAUAUAUAGCUAAUAAUUAUAUUGAGGUCCAGAAGAACAUUCAAUUUAAAUGUUUAUUAUUUUAAUAUAUAAAAUUGCAGAGUGAAUUAGUCAUCCAUUUAGCAAAAUUCUUAGAUGGGCAUUGACUAUUUAUAGUUAAACAUGAUAUAAUUCCAAAAAGUGUUAACAUGUAGUAAUGAAGCACUGAGUUUAAAAUAGGAUUGUGCUUCAAGUGAAUUUUGAAAUAUAUUUCUACAGAAUCAUUUAAAUAAAAGUAGGAUUGGACUUCAAUAAAAUUGUUGCCAAUUCUACUGUGAUAGUAGCCAAUACAGAAUGACAUUGAAUUUAUUGAAUUCAAUAAAUUGAAUAUGUUGCAAUAUUUUCUGAAAUGGUGAUCCAUAAUUAUAGUAUACUUAACUGAAAUUACCUGCAAGCACCCUUCUUUCCAUUAACUCUUGCUUUUAAAGAACAUGUAUCAAUAUCAAGCUAUACUUUUUAAUUUACAAACCAAGUAAUAUCAGUGGAGCACUGGUAACUUCAACAGUACCCUCAUGUGCUUCUUGUCAUCUGCUUCUGAUAUCUGAAUGCCUGCAGUCCCAUGGAAGUAUUGGGAAUCUCAUAUAUUGGUGAUUGGGGUUAGGAUUCUGUGUUCCUCUGUAUAAUGCUUUUUAUUAUUUCAAGCAUUACACUAAAUGGGAGGGACUAGGUAGGCUGUCAUCCUGUGUGAAUGUUGGGGUGGCCUAUAGAGUUGUGUAGCAUUUAUCAUGUUUGGUUAUAUCAACAAUUCUUCCUUUUAAACAAAAUCCCUUUCAUUCUUGAAUUUUCAGUUUCUUGUCCCAAUUGAAAACUAAUUUUCCUCCCCUUUUGCAGCUGUCUUUUUGUGAUUAUGAUUGUGCAAUAUUAUUGGCCACAACUUUAAUCUGAGCAAUUGACACUGGUCCAUCUUCAAAUCAUUCAGAAGACUUGAAGAGAACUUCUCUUUCUACUCUGGAAUUCAAAUGUAUAUAUUUUAUUUGAAAUACGUUAUUUAAAAGUCAAGUUUGUCUCAUCUUCAGUACCUAUAGAUUAUAGUGCAAUUCAAAAACUUCCAAAAAUACUAUAUUAUGAGCCUUACCUAUAUAGAUAAUUCCUUUCAUGAUUUCAAAUUGAAAAAAGACUUCAUUAAUUAGAUAUAUCAGCCGUGGUUUUUUUAGUGUCAAUAUUGUAAUUUUGUAAUAUUGUCAAUAUUUAAUCAAAUUGUUGCACAGGUGCCAAUUCAAUUUUAUUCAAAGGUGCUUGACUUUUCCAUACUAUGUUUCUGUCAGUAUUCAGGUGAUACAGAUAAUUCUGUGCGCAAACUUCCCACAAUACUAAAUAUCCCUAUAGAGAUACAGAGAUAUAUAGAUACAUACAUACAGCUGAAAUUCUAAGCCCAAUAUUGUUAAAUAUCUUUACUGAGUGCCUGUUAAUACGGUAAUUUGAAAUUGUGUAUAACACAACGAUCGGGUUCACAAUGUCAGACUAAAGUUUCAAAUACUGAUUUGAUAGGCUAAACAAGGCCUUUUCUAGCUAAUUUGCUCUUGUUACUUUCAAGUGGUAAAACAAGCCAGGAUUUACCAAGUGUACAUUUUUUUCAUUGCAGGUAAAGCAGAAACUAAGUCUUCAAAUGAGUCAGUAUUCAUAAAUCAACUUAGCCCCUUAAAGAUGGCUUCUAAUCCUUAGCUGUUAGAAAUAUUUAAUCAUAGUCAUGAGAAUCUAUUAAUAAAUUCAUGUUUCUGUUUUUUUCCUCAUUCUCACAAUCAGAAGGAAGAAGCAAAAAGUGAUUAUACCAUGUGUAGCCAAAAACUGCUAAUAGUUAACAUGGUUUAUUUUGCCAUAUGAAGGUUUUUACUGCUUUAUGUGCAAAUCUGGCCAAUGAAACAGUAGGGUUUGUAAAUAUUUUUGAAUAGAUGUCACCAGAAAGAUAGUAAAAACUGAAAGACACUUUAAAAUUUGACAGAAUAAAAACUGAACAAUAGUUUGAAUUAGUUUUAAAAUUGUUUGGGCCUGAGAUCUUCCCAAUUUUCUGUUCUCUUGAAUUCUUAACUUAGAAUGAACUUGGCUCAAAUGUAGGAUUUGUCCCAAGGCUUUAGCACCUUGUGCACAGUUUAAACAUUUCCAAACUGUUUUCUAGGUAAGAAGAAUAAUGGGAACUACUCUGGAAAUCAGUGCUUGUUCUGAGAAUCUUUUCUUCUCAAGAUGAGGUACCUGCACAAAUAAUCCAGGAAGUUCAGAAUGUUAUUGUCUCUUGAAAAAUAUUGACUGCUGGAUGACUUUUUGUUAUCUGAAUGUAGGGGUACUGUUAAAAUUUAUAACCACUUUUAAAAUAGAAGGAUUUCCUUUUUCUCACAAUGGUGCACAUCAUUGUAUUUGAAUGGAAAGAUCUGACAGGGCAAAGUAAUCCUAAAUACCUUUCCUUACUGGAUUUAGAAUGUUUUGCACAUGUCAAUUUUCUGUAAAGAUCAGAACAAUAUUUCUCUUGUCUGCAUAUUUUUGCUAGUUAAUAUUUAUUAGAUGUGCCAAGCUCCAUUGGAUAUAUUUUUCUGUAACUUCUGAAAUUAUUAAAUAACCAUAUACUGUAUGAGUACACACAUUAGAACACUGGAAUGUUGAACUAAGCAUUUUUAUGUAAAUAAUUACUACUUUUCAGUUGCAGAAAAGCCUGGGUAUCAUCUCAUAACUGUUGUAUUUUGCCCUAAUGGGAAAUGUUCAGACAUUCUGUGAUGUAUGUACUUGUGCCAAUGGUUAUGUGUAACUACUAAUUAUAAAUUGUAAACAUGCUUGUUUCAUUGUUCAGAAUAGUAUUUCUCUUGUUAAAAAUAUUUUCAGUUAAAUGUGAAAAGGAAUUUAUUUAUUUUUUUAAGAUUGUCUUGCAAGGUCUGUUUUCUCUACUUUUUUCCUAAAAAAUAGUAGGGUAAAGAUUGGAAUUUUGUCUAGUUUUUCACUUGAUAGACCAAAGUUACUAUUGACACUGUCUUGCAAUGCUGAUCAAAUGUAUAUCUUUUUGCACUUUAAAUGAAUAAGAAAUGAGGAAAAUCAAAGUGUCAAUUGUACGUACAUUCACUGUACAGUGAAUGUAUACCAUUAGUUAAUCUGUUUUUAAACAGAAUAUUUUCCUUUGUGGGAAGGGGAAUACUCAAGCAAUGUAUUUGCUAGUCGAUAUAAAGUGUUUACAUGUAAUUACUUA